GGGGAAUUUUCCGCAAUGGGCGAAAGCCUGACGGAGCAAUACCGCGUGAGGGAGGAAGGCUCUUGGGUUGUAAACCUCUUUUCUCAGGGAAGAAUGAUGACGGUACCUGAGGAAUAAGCAUCGGCUAACUCCGUGCCAGCAGCCGCGGUAAUACGGAGGAUGCAAGCGUUAUCCGGAAUGAUUGGGCGUAAAGCGUCCGCAGGUGGCAAUGUAAGUCUGCUGUCAAAGCGUCUGGCUCAACCAGAUAAAGGCAGUGGAAACUACAUAGCUAGAGUAAGGUAGGGGUAGAGGGAAUUCCUGGUGUAGCGGUGAAAUGCGUAGAGAUCAGGAAGAACACCGGUGGCGAAAGCGCUCUGCUGGACCUUAACUGACACUGAGGGACGAAAGCUAGGGGAGCGAAUGGGAUUAGAUACCCCAGUA
Molecule: ribosomal RNA, 420 nt
Filed under: uncultured Scytonema sp.
Lineage: Bacteria; Bacillati; Cyanobacteriota; Cyanophyceae; Nostocales; Scytonemataceae
Description: bacterial SSU rRNA
Rfam family: Bacterial small subunit ribosomal RNA
Source: RNAcentral